RNAcentral lists this ribosomal RNA (3091 nucleotides) under Salmonella enterica subsp. enterica. RNAcentral describes it as "23S ribosomal RNA". It matches the Rfam family "Bacterial large subunit ribosomal RNA". Lineage: Bacteria; Pseudomonadati; Pseudomonadota; Gammaproteobacteria; Enterobacterales; Enterobacteriaceae. RNAcentral also lists the same sequence under 1 other name. The record is from RNAcentral.
GGUUAAGCGACUAAGCGUACACGGUGGAUGCCCUGGCAGUCAGAGGCGAUGAAGGGCGUGCUAAUCUGCGAUAAGCGCCGGUAAGGUGAUAUGAACCGUUAUAACCGGCGAUACCCGAAUGGGGAAACCCAGUGUGACUCGUCACACUAUCAUUAACUGAAUCCAUAGGUUAAUGAGGCGAACCGGGGGAACUGAAACAUCUAAGUACCCCGAGGAAAAGAAAUCAACCGAGAUUCCCCCAGUAGCGGCGAGCGAACGGGGAGGAGCCCAGAGCCUGAAUCAGCAUGUGUGUUAGUGGAAGCGUCUGGAAAGGCGCGCGAUACAGGGUGACAGCCCCGUACACAAAAGCGCAUGUGCUGUGAGCUCGAUGAGUAGGGCGGGACACGUGGUAUCCUGUCUGAAUAUGGGGGGACCAUCCUCCAAGGCUAAAUACUCCUGACUGACCGAUAGUGAACCAGUACCGUGAGGGAAAGGCGAAAAGAACCCCGGCGAGGGGAGUGAAAAAGAACCUGAAACCGUGUACGUACAAGCAGUGGGAGCCCCACCACUAAGCCAGUGGUGAACUCCACAUCCGCAUCCUUUGCUGAGGAUACGGUUAACGGAGCGAAAGCGACGUUCAACCGCAAAACAAGCAGAGGGGGCUUAGUGGUGGGGUGACUGCGUACCUUUUGUAUAAUGGGUCAGCGACUUAUAUUCUGUAGCAAGGUUAACCGUAUAGGGGAGCCGGAGGGAAACCGAGUCUUAAUUGGGCGUUAAGUUGCAGGGUAUAGACCCGAAACCCGGUGAUCUAGCCAUGGGCAGGUUGAAGGUUGGGUAACACUAACUGGAGGACCGAACCGACUAAUGUUGAAAAAUUAGCGGAUGACCUGUGGCUGGGGGUGAAAGGCCAAUCAAACCGGGAGAUAGCUGGUUCUCCCCGAAAGCUAUUUAGGUAGCGCCUCGUGAAUUCAUCUCCGGGGGUAGAGCACUGUUUCGGCUAGGGGGCCAUCCCGGCUUACCAACCCGAUGCAAACUGCGAAUACCGGAGAAUGUUAUCACGGGAGACACACGGCGGGUGCUAACGUCCGUCGUGAAGAGGGAAACAACCCAGACCGCCAGCUAAGGUCCCAAAGUCAUGGUUAAGUGGGAAACGAUGUGGGAAGGCCCAGACAGCCAGGAUGUUGGCUUAGAAGCAGCCAUCAUUUAAAGAAAGCGUAAUAGCUCACUGGUCGAGUCGGCCUGCGCGGAAGAUGUAACGGGGCUAAACCAUGCACCGAAGCUGCGGCAGCGAACGUAUCACCCAAGACAACUUUACGGAGUUGACGAUUGACGGAGCGAAGCGACGUCAAAGCGUUCAUUAAAGUCGAGUUGGCUUAGGGAUACGUUCGUUGGGUAGGGGAGCGUUCUGUAAGCCUGUGAAGGUGUGUCGUGAGGCAUGCUGGAGGUAUCAGAAGUGCGAAUGCUGACAUAAGUAACGAUAAAGCGGGUGAAAAGCCCGCUCGCCGGAAGACCAAGGGUUCCUGUCCAACGUUAAUCGGGGCAGGGUGAGUCGACCCCUAAGGCGAGGCCGAAAGGCGUAGUCGAUGGGAAACGGGUUAAUAUUCCCGUACUUGGUGUUACUGCGAAGGGGGGACGGAGAAGGCUAUGUUGGCCGGGCGACGGUUGUCCCGGUUUAAGCGUGUAGGUGUGUGUUCCAGGUAAAUCCGGUUCACUUUAACACUGAGGCGUGACGACGAGGCACUACGGUGCUGAAGCAACAAAUGCCCUGCUUCCAGGAAAAGCCUCUAAGCAUCAGGUAACACGAAAUCGUACCCCAAACCGACACAGGUGGUCAGGUAGAGAAUACCAAGGCGCUUGAGAGAACUCGGGUGAAGGAACUAGGCAAAAUGGUGCCGUAACUUCGGGAGAAGGCACGCUGACACGUAGGUGAAGUGAUUUACUCAUGGAGCUGAAGUCAGUCGAAGAUACCAGCUGGCUGCAACUGUUUAUUAAAAACACAGCACUGUGCAAACACGAAAGUGGACGUAUACGGUGUGACGCCUGCCCGGUGCCGGAAGGUUAAUUGAUGGGGUCAGCGCAAGCGAAGCUCCUGAUCGAAGCCCCGGUAAACGGCGGCCGUAACUAUAACGGUCCUAAGGUAGCGAAAUUCCUUGUCGGGUAAGUUCCGACCUGCACGAAUGGCGUAAUGAUGGCCAGGCUGUCUCCACCCGAGACUCAGUGAAAUUGAACUCGCUGUGAAGAUGCAGUGUACCCGCGGCAAGACGGAAAGACCCCGUGAACCUUUACUAUAGCUUGACACUGAACAUUGAGCCUUGAUGUGUAGGAUAGGUGGGAGGCUUUGAAGUGUGGACGCCAGUCUGCAUGGAGCCGACCUUGAAAUACCACCCUUUAAUGUUUGAUGUUCUAACGUGGACCCGUAAUCCGGGUUGCGGACAGUGUCUGGUGGGUAGUUUGACUGGGGCGGUCUCCUCCUAAAGAGUAACGGAGGAGCACGAAGGUUGGCUAAUCCUGGUCGGACAUCAGGAGGUUAGUGCAAUGGCAUAAGCCAGCUUGACUGCGAGCGUGACGGCGCGAGCAGGUGCGAAAGCAGGUCAUAGUGAUCCGGUGGUUCUGAAUGGAAGGGCCAUCGCUCAACGGAUAAAAGGUACUCCGGGGAUAACAGGCUGAUACCGCCCAAGAGUUCAUAUCGACGGCGGUGUUUGGCACCUCGAUGUCGGCUCAUCACAUCCUGGGGCUGAAGUAGGUCCCAAGGGUAUGGCUGUUCGCCAUUUAAAGUGGUACGCGAGCUGGGUUUAGAACGUCGUGAGACAGUUCGGUCCCUAUCUGCCGUGGGCGCUGGAGAACUGAGGGGGGCUGCUCCUAGUACGAGAGGACCGGAGUGGACGCAUCACUGGUGUUCGGGUUGUCAUGCCAAUGGCACUGCCCGGUAGCUAAAUGCGGAAGAGAUAAGUGCUGAAAGCAUCUAAGCACGAAACUUGCCCCGAGAUGAGUUCUCCCUGAGACUUAGAGUCUCCUGAAGGAACGUUGAAGACGACGACGUUGAUAGGCCGGGUGUGUAAGCGCAGCGAUGCGUUGAGCUAACCGGUACUAAUGAACCGUGAGGCUUAACCUU